GGUUAAGCGACUAAGCGUACACGGUGGAUGCCCUGGCAGUCAGAGGCGAUGAAGGACGUGCUAAUCUGCGAUAAGCGCCGGUAAGGUGAUAUGAACCGUUAUAACCGGCGAUUUCCGAAUGGGGAAACCCAGUGUGAUUCGUCACACUAUCAUUAACUGAAUCCAUAGGUUAAUGAGGCGAACCGGGGGAACUGAAACAUCUAAGUACCCCGAGGAAAAGAAAUCAACCGAGAUUCCCCCAGUAGCGGCGAGCGAACGGGGAGGAGCCCAGAGCCUGAAUCAGCAUGUGUGUUAGUGGAAGCGUCUGGAAAGGCGCGCGAUACAGGGUGACAGCCCCGUACACAAAAGCGCAUGUGCUGUGAGCUCGAUGAGUAGGGCGGGACACGUGGUAUCCUGUCUGAAUAUGGGGGGACCAUCCUCCAAGGCUAAAUACUCCUGACUGACCGAUAGUGAACCAGUACCGUGAGGGAAAGGCGAAAAGAACCCCGGCGAGGGGAGUGAAAAAGAACCUGAAACCGUGUACGUACAAGCAGUGGGAGCACAGGUUUACCUGUGUGACUGCGUACCUUUUGUAUAAUGGGUCAGCGACUUAUAUUCUGUAGCAAGGUUAACCGUAUAGGGGAGCCGUAGGGAAACCGAGUCUUAACCGGGCGUUAAGUUGCAGGGUAUAGACCCGAAACC
RNAcentral lists this ribosomal RNA (681 nucleotides) under Salmonella enterica subsp. enterica serovar 1,4,[5],12:i:-. RNAcentral's name for it is "partial 23S ribosomal RNA". It matches the Rfam family "Bacterial large subunit ribosomal RNA", at positions 1 to 722 of the family's 2925-position model. The record is from RNAcentral. Lineage: Bacteria; Pseudomonadati; Pseudomonadota; Gammaproteobacteria; Enterobacterales; Enterobacteriaceae.